RNAcentral lists this ribosomal RNA (1521 nucleotides) under Shigella boydii. RNAcentral describes it as "bacterial SSU rRNA". It matches the Rfam family "Bacterial small subunit ribosomal RNA". Lineage: Bacteria; Pseudomonadati; Pseudomonadota; Gammaproteobacteria; Enterobacterales; Enterobacteriaceae. The record is from RNAcentral.
AGAGUUUGAUCAUGGCUCAGAUUGAACGCUGGCGGCAGGCCUAACACAUGCAAGUCGAACGGUAACAGGAAGCAGCUUGCUGCUUCGCUGACGAGUGGCGGACGGGUGAGUAAUGUCUGGGAAACUGCCUGAUGGAGGGGGAUAACUACUGGAAACGGUAGCUAAUACCGCAUAAUGUCGCAAGACCAAAGAGGGGGACCUUCGGGCCUCUUGCCAUCGGAUGUGCCCAGAUGGGAUUAGCUUGUUGGUGGGGUAACGGCUCACCAAGGCGACGAUCCCUAGCUGGUCUGAGAGGAUGACCAGCCACACUGGAACUGAGACACGGUCCAGACUCCUACGGGAGGCAGCAGUGGGGAAUAUUGCACAAUGGGCGCAAGCCUGAUGCAGCCAUGCCGCGUGUAUGAAGAAGGCCUUCGGGUUGUAAAGUACUUUCAGCGGGGAGGAAGGGAGUAAAGUUAAUAUCUUUGCUCAUUGACGUUAUCCGCAGAAGAAGCACCGGCUAACUCCGUGCCAGCAGCCGCGGUAAUACGGAGGGUGCAAGCGUUAAUCGGAAUUACUGGGCGUAAAGCGCACGCAGGCGGUUUGUUAAGUCAGAUGUGAAAUCCCCGGGCUCAACCUGGGAACUGCAUCUGAUACUGGCAAGCUUGAGUCUCGUAGAGGGGGUAGAAUUCCAGGUGUAGCGGUGAAAUGCGUAGAGAUCUGGAGGAAUACCGGUGGCGAAGGCGGCCCCCUGGACGAAGACUGACGCUCAGGUGCGAAAGCGUGGGGAGCAAACAGGAUUAGAUACCCUGGUAGUCCACGCCGUAAACGAUGUCGACUUGGAGGUUGUGCCCUUGAGGCGUGGCUUCCGGAGCUAACGCGUUAAGUCGACCGCCUGGGGAGUACGGCCGCAAGGUUAAAACUCAAAUGAAUUGACGGGGGCCCGCACAAGCGGUGGAGCAUGUGGUUUAAUUCGAUGCAACGCGAAGAACCUUACCUGGUCUUGACAUCCACGGAAGUUUUCAGAGAUGAGAAUGUGCCUUCGGGAACCGUGAGACAGGUGCUGCAUGGCUGUCGUCAGCUCGUGUUGUGAAAUGUUGGGUUAAGUCCCGCAACGAGCGCAACCCUUAUCCUUUGUUGCCAGCGGUCCGGCCGGGAACUCAAAGGAGACUGCCAGUGAUAAACUGGAGGAAGGUGGGGAUGACGUCAAGUCAUCAUGGCCCUUACGACCAGGGCUACACACGUGCUACAAUGGCGCAUACAAAGAGAAGCGACCUCGCGAGAGCAAGCGGACCUCAUAAAGUGCGUCGUAGUCCGGAUUGGAGUCUGCAACUCGACUCCAUGAAGUCGGAAUCGCUAGUAAUCGUGGAUCAGAAUGCCACGGUGAAUACGUUCCCGGGCCUUGUACACACCGCCCGUCACACCAUGGGAGUGGGUUGCAAAAGAAGUAGGUAGCUUAACCUUCGGGAGGGCGCUUACCACUUUGUGAUUCAUGACUGGGGUGAAGUCGUAACAAGGUAACCGUAGGGGAACCUGCGGUUG